GCCAGACUCCUACGGGAGGCAGCAGUGGGGAAUAUUGCACAAUGGGGGGAACCCUGAUGCAGCGACGCCGCGUGGGUGAAGGAGUAUUUCGGUAUGUAAAGCCCUAUCAGCAGGGAAGAACAAUGACGGUACCUGACUAAGAAGCACCGGCUAAAUACGUGCCAGCAGCCGCGGUAAUACGUAUGGUGCAAGCGUUAUCCGGAUUUACUGGGUGUAAAGGGAGCGCAGGCGGCGCGUUAAGCCUGGUGUGAAAGUCCGCGGCCCAACCGCGGGACUGCAUUGGGAACUGGCGCGCUGGAGUGCCGGAGGGGUAGGCGGAAUUCCUGGUGUAGCGGUGAAAUGCGUAGAUAUCAGGAGGAACACCGGUGGCGAAGGCGGCCUGCUGGACUGCGACUGACGUUGAGGCCCGAAAGCGUGGGGAGCAAACAGGAUUAGAUACCCGCGUAUC
RNAcentral lists this ribosomal RNA (448 nucleotides) under uncultured bacterium. RNAcentral's name for it is "bacterial SSU rRNA". It matches the Rfam family "Bacterial small subunit ribosomal RNA", at positions 330 to 794 of the family's 1533-position model. The record is from RNAcentral.